RNAcentral lists this ribosomal RNA (151 nucleotides) under Fusarium fujikuroi. RNAcentral's name for it is "5.8S ribosomal RNA". It matches the Rfam family "5.8S ribosomal RNA". Rfam says of the family: 5.8S ribosomal RNA (5.8S rRNA) is a component of the large subunit of the eukaryotic ribosome. It is transcribed by RNA polymerase I as part of the 45S precursor that also contains 18S and 28S rRNA. Functionally, it is thought that 5.8S rRNA may be involved in ribosome translocation. Lineage: Eukaryota; Fungi; Ascomycota; Sordariomycetes; Hypocreales; Nectriaceae. RNAcentral also lists the same sequence under 1 other name. The record is from RNAcentral.
CGGAUCUCUUGGUUCUGGCAUCGAUGAAGAACGCAGCAAAAUGCGAUAAGUAAUGUGAAUUGCAGAAUUCAGUGAAUCAUCGAAUCUUUGAACGCACAUUGCGCCCGCCAGUAUUCUGGCGGGCAUGCCUGUUCGAGCGUCAUUUCAACCC